CAAUAGCGUAUAUUAAAGCUGUUGCGGUUAAAAAGCUCGUAGUUGGAUUUCUGUCAAGGACAACUGGUCCGCCCCUCGGGUGAGCACAUAGUUUGGUCUUGGCAUCUUGUUGGAAACUGUUGCUGCACUUGGUUGUGUGGCGCAGUGUCCAGCACUUUCACUUUGAGGAAAUAGGAGUGUUUCAAGCAGGCACAUGCCUUUGGACACAGUAGCAUGGAAUAAUUAGAUUGGGCUUUUGCUCCAACUUGUCGGUUUCUGGAGCUGAGGUGAGAAUUAAUGGGGAUUGUUGGGGGCAUCCGAAUUUAGCCGUCAGAGGUGAAAUUCUUGGAUCUGCUAAAGACGGACAACUGCGAAAGCGUUUGCCCAGGAUGUUUUCAUUGA
RNAcentral lists this ribosomal RNA (381 nucleotides) under uncultured eukaryote. RNAcentral's name for it is "partial 18S ribosomal RNA". It matches the Rfam family "Eukaryotic small subunit ribosomal RNA", at positions 592 to 976 of the family's 1831-position model. The record is from RNAcentral.